AGAGGAGGGCGCAUAUGAACCGUAGGUUCAUAUUUAGGAUGCGCCCGACAAUCUGCCGCUGAACGAAUGUGAGGGGGCGCUCC
This 83-nucleotide small RNA is filed under the name bovine gut metagenome. Its description in RNAcentral is "GA-cis RNA". It matches the Rfam family "GA-cis RNA". The record is from RNAcentral.